ACGGAGACAAAUGUUCCCUUACAUCUUUUUAUCCUCCUCCUCUCUCUCUCUCUCUCAAAAAAUCUUGAACGAGACUGUGAGCAGUGGUGACUGUGAGGAAGAAGCACAAGGAAGGCUUGAAGAAGGCACUUGUAAAACGUUUGGAUGCUCUCACCGACAAGAUCGGAAGGAAUGUUGUGUUGCAGCUUGUUAGCACCGAUAUGGAUCCAAAAACGACUUUGAUGAUGAUGAGCAGUACCGUGAGAACCCCUCCUCCUCCUCCUCCUCCUUAAGCCGUCGGGCCAGUUUGGUUGAGAGGAAAUCGCUUCUUCCUGCUGUGGCGGCAUCCACCCGGAUGUCGUCUGCGCUGAUUCGGCGGCUGGGGAUUGGGAGGUCACGGCUCAGGUCCAGGGAUUUCAAGAACAUGUCCAUUUUCGCCACAAUUGACAAGACAUGGUGUAAAACAGUUGACAGGGCUUCAAAGGUCUUCUUGGAGAUGCUUUACAACCGGCACAAGCGCUUGACAAAUGAUAUUGCUUAGUCCAUGCUAUUUCACACUGUGGAAAUUUUUAUCUGACUUGGGGUGUUGGGAAGGAAGGUUUGGCCCUUGUGCACUACUAGCGUCUAACUUAUAUUUACUUAUUCUUGUAUAUGUAUUUUAUUACCACAACAAAAUAAUUGUUGUAUUUUGUGUCAUACAAAUUAAGUUUUUUGCCCUCAAAGUUGUCUUUUAUGGAGUUGUGUGAUUUAAAUUGGUAAUCUAAUUUUCCCAUUAUGAUUUAUAAAAUCCAAUAAACAUUUUACUGUGGAAAUUUUUAUCUGACCUAGCGUGUGGUGGAAGGAAAGCUUGGUCCUUGUGCACUUCUAGCAUCCAACUUAUAUUUACUAUUCUUGUAUAGGUAUUUUUAUCACCACAACGAAAUAAUUGUUGUAUUUUGUGUCAUAUAAAUUAAGUUCUGCCCUUAAAGUUGUCUUUUAUGGAGCUAUGUGUGACUUUAAUUUGAUUAUCCACUUUUCCUAUUCUGAAUUAUAAAAUCCAGUAAACAUUUUGUUGUUGGUAAGCAAUAUUGAUCUUGUGACAACCCUGUUAAUCAUUGGUUUUGAAUGUUAUUUAAGUGCUUUCUGUGAAUUUGAAUGCUUAUUAUGUGUUUAAUGUGAUUUUUAGGUUCAUAUCUGUUAACCGUAGGAAUAUCUAUUGUGAUUUCGGUUAUAAUCUGAAAUUGAAGGCCUUAAUGAUGUCAGAAGUUUGAUAAAAUUUGAUUAAGAUUAAAUUAAUUAAAUUAAGCCUUGAUUAAUUAGUCUUAAGCUCUAUUUAACUAACUUGAUCCCUAAUUAAGGCCCUAAGCUAAACUAUGAGAAAUGUUAAUUAAUCUCAUUUAGACAUAAAAAUCUGCCGACAAUUAAAGUUUAGAGAGAGAAGAAACUCAAUUUCAGAGAGAAGAGCUUGGAAGCUUGGAAUUUUGCUUGAGAAUUGAAGAAUUGAGGAAGAGACAACUUAAGAAAUUGCUAGAAUUAGUGUUCUUGAAGACUUUAGGUAUGUGUUUAAUACCGAAUUCAUAAAUUGAAGUUGAAAAAUGCACUUUUUUCACACUUAAGCUUUAAAAUAGUCCAUCGGGAGCCAAAAUCGUGUAACAGUCACGAGAAGUCCAGGGUAACACCUCGAACACCUCGGGGGGGACCAAUGUAAGUUGUGAAAACUUACAGAAUUAGCUCGGGACUCUCGGUUUGAAAAUUAUGUCAAAAAAUGUA
This is a long non-coding RNA of Camellia sinensis, 1728 nucleotides long. RefSeq lists it as uncharacterized. Lineage: Eukaryota; Viridiplantae; Streptophyta; Magnoliopsida; Ericales; Theaceae. The record is from RefSeq and is a predicted model, not a curated record.